Molecule: ribosomal RNA, 253 nt
Filed under: uncultured bacterium
Lineage: Bacteria
Description: partial 16S ribosomal RNA
Rfam family: Bacterial small subunit ribosomal RNA
Source: RNAcentral
UACGUAGGGGGCAAGCGUUGUCCGGAUUUAUUGGGCGUAAAGAGCGUGUAGGCGGCCAGGUAGGUCUGCUGUGAAAACUCGAGGCUCAACCUCGAGACGUCGGCGGAAACCAUCUGGCUAGAGUCCGGAAGAGGAGAGUGGAAUUCCUGGUGUAGCGGUGAAAUGCGCAGAUAUCAGGAAGAACACCCGUGGCGAAGGCGGCUCUCUGGGACGGGACUGACGCUGAGACGCGAAAGCGUGGGGAGCGAACAGG